AGUGAACGCUGGCGGUAGGCCUAACACAUGCAAGUCGAACGGCAGCACAGUAAGAGCUUGCUCUUACGGGUGGCGAGUGGCGGACGGGUGAGGAAUACAUCGGAAUCUACUUUUUCGUGGGGGAUAACGUAGGGAAACUUACGCUAAUACCGCAUACGUCCUACCGGUGAAAGCAGGGGAUCUUCGGACCUUGCGCGAUUGAAUGAGCCGAUGUCGGAUUAGCUAGUUGGCGGGGUAAAGGCCCACCAAGGCGACGAUCCGUAGCUGGUCUGAGAGGAUGAUCAGCCACACUGGAACUGAGACACGGUCCAGACUCCUACGGGAGGCAGCAGUGGGGAAUAUUGGACAAUGGGCGCAAGCCUGAUCCAGCCAUACCGCGUGGGUGAAGAAGGCCUUCGGGUUGUAAAGCCCUUUUGUUGGGAAAGAAAAGCAGCAGGUUAAUACCCCGCUGUUCUGACGGUACCCAAAGAAUAAGCACCGGCUAACUUCGUG
This 492-nucleotide ribosomal RNA is filed under the name uncultured bacterium. RNAcentral's name for it is "partial 16S ribosomal RNA". It matches the Rfam family "Bacterial small subunit ribosomal RNA", at positions 29 to 507 of the family's 1533-position model. The record is from RNAcentral.